UACGUAGGCAGCGAGCGUUGUUCGGAUUUACUGGGCGUAAAGAGUGCGUAGGCGGUUUUCUAAGUUUGGUGUGAAAUCUCCCGGCUUAACUGGGAGGGUGCGCCGAAAACUGGAAGGCUUGAGUAUGGGAGAGGUAAGCGGAAUUCCUGGUGUAGCGGUGAAAUGCGUAGAUAUCUGGAGGAACACCGGUGGCGAAGGCGGCAUCCUGGACCGGCAUUGACGCUGAGGAGCGAAUGCCAGGGGAGCAAACGGG
RNAcentral lists this ribosomal RNA (253 nucleotides) under uncultured bacterium. RNAcentral describes it as "partial 16S ribosomal RNA". It matches the Rfam family "Bacterial small subunit ribosomal RNA", at positions 524 to 776 of the family's 1533-position model. The record is from RNAcentral.